Molecule: long non-coding RNA, 315 nt
Organism: Pleuronectes platessa (European plaice)
Lineage: Eukaryota; Metazoa; Chordata; Actinopteri; Pleuronectiformes; Pleuronectidae
Exons: 3
Source: RefSeq, a predicted model, not a curated record
GCGGACAUGACGUGUGGCUGUCGUAAAAACCCUAUUUGUAAACAACCAGUCCUUUAACUCAGCGCUGCGUCAUAAACACGGCGCGCUUGGAAGACCACGAUGUCAUCUUCCUUCUGUCAGGAGGAUCCCAGUGAAGCUACAGGAGUUUCAUUAACGUCAACAACUUGGACCGAACAGUUUGUUUUGCUUGAUGAAGAGCAGGAAGGGCAGCCUGGAGAGAAAGAGAAGCCGGGUUGAGCCCACUACCAUCAUCCACGUACCACGAGGAAGAUGAGGGAGAGAAAUGAUCCUACCAUUAAAGAGACUGUGAAAAGA